CCUACGGGAGGCAGCAGUGGGGAAUAUUGGGCAAUGGGCGCAAGCCUGACCCAGCAACGCCGCGUGAAGGAAGAAGGCUUUCGGGUUGUAAACUUCUUUUCUCAGGGACGAAGAAAGUGACGGUACCUGAGGAAUAAGCCACGGCUAACUACGUGCCAGCAGCCGCGGUAAUACGUAGGUGGCAAGCGUUAUCCGGAUUUACUGGGUGUAAAGGGCGUGUAGGCGGGACUGCAAGUCAGAUGUGAAAACCACGGGCUCAACCUGUGGCCUGCAUUUGAGACUGUAGGUCUUGAGUACUGGAGAGG
This 305-nucleotide ribosomal RNA is filed under the name uncultured bacterium. Its description in RNAcentral is "bacterial SSU rRNA". It matches the Rfam family "Bacterial small subunit ribosomal RNA", at positions 338 to 657 of the family's 1533-position model. The record is from RNAcentral.